AUGCAAGGGAGCCGCAGCGCGACCGUCUUCGACGACCUACCGGAGUGGGUGGUCGUCCACGAGAUCCUCGUCCGGCUGCCUGUCAAAGACGUACUCCGCUGUCACGCGGUCCGCAGGUCGUGGCGGUGCGGCACUUCCACCGACGCCUUCAUCCUCGACCACCACCGCCACCAACCCUCGCUCCCCAUCAUCAAUCACGGGAAGGGCAUCUCCCGCGUCGUCAGAACCUUCGGUGAUGAUCUGAAGAUACGGCCCGUCCUUCGGCACGAAUACGACGUCAUUGUACACCGCGCCACCUGUGAUGGCCUCCUCAUUCUGUCGCAACAAGAACAAUCCGAUUUCUACGUCUGCAACCCGGCCACCCGCAAGUGUGCGUCCCUGCCACAUCCUCCACGACGACCACACUUCCUGGUCAGCGUAGCCGGGUUCUACCGGCAUCACACAUCUGGAGAACACCGGGUGCUUUGGGUGUCAUACCCCUGGUCAUACACACUGCUCGAUGGGAGCGACGUAGCAAUUGAGUCGCUUGAGUACUUCGUCCUCAUGGUCGGAUCGGAUCAGCCAAGAAGCAUCCAGUGGCCGACAGUUCCAGAACAAAGGUUUAUUCCUGAUAAUUGGUUCUACCAUUGCCGAGCAGUGCACCAUCGUGGUAGCCUGCAUUGGGCAAUGGGUCUCAACAUAACGGUAUUUGACACAAUAGCCGAGACAUUCCGGCAGAUGAGCUGCCCAACACAAUUGGGCGAUAUGGUGUCAUUGAUGGAUAUGGGUGGUGCCCUAGCAUUGUGCCGCACGUCCUCUGAAUGUGUCACUACUUUAGAUGUUUGGGUGUUGCAGGACUACGAUGCUGAAACUUGGGGCUUUUUGUACCAGAUUAACUUGUCAGUGAUGGAGGCAUCACUACCACUUGAUUUGCAAAUCAAAUAUGUUCGUAGCAUGGCUGUGAUGAACGAGCGUGAGUUGUUGGUUCAGAAUCGUCGUAGCCGUAUAUUACACUGUGAUAUUGAUGGCGUGUUUUUAGGAAAUGUGGAAAGUGAAGAGCAUGAAAACCACUGGACACUUAGUUGGCAUCGCCUCCAAGAGAGCAUGAUUUCACUUCCA
This 1098-nucleotide ribosomal RNA is filed under the name Triticum aestivum (bread wheat). RNAcentral's name for it is "partial small subunit ribosomal RNA". The record is from RNAcentral. Lineage: Eukaryota; Viridiplantae; Streptophyta; Magnoliopsida; Poales; Poaceae.